GUUUGAAUGAUGACUUAAAAUUGUCGGAUACCCCUUCACUCCUUUCAUGAGUGAAACAUAGAAGUCUGACAAAC
Sciurus vulgaris (Eurasian red squirrel) is the source of this 74-nucleotide small nucleolar RNA. Ensembl annotates it as small nucleolar RNA, C/D box 101. Its record names the gene SNORD101. The record is from Ensembl. Lineage: Eukaryota; Metazoa; Chordata; Mammalia; Rodentia; Sciuridae.